GCGGGCGUAAUUCAGCGGUAGAAUGUCAGCUUCCCAAGCUGAAAGUCGCCGGUCCGAAUCCGGUCGCCCGCU
RNAcentral lists this transfer RNA (72 nucleotides) under Sedimentisphaerales bacterium. RNAcentral's name for it is "tRNA-Gly". It matches the Rfam family "tRNA". From Rfam's summary of the family: Transfer RNA (tRNA) molecules are approximately 80 nucleotides in length. Lineage: Bacteria; Pseudomonadati; Planctomycetota; Phycisphaerae; Sedimentisphaerales. The record is from RNAcentral.